RNAcentral lists this ribosomal RNA (398 nucleotides) under uncultured bacterium. RNAcentral describes it as "partial 16S ribosomal RNA". It matches the Rfam family "Bacterial small subunit ribosomal RNA", at positions 523 to 918 of the family's 1533-position model. The record is from RNAcentral.
AUACGUAGGGUGCGAGCGUUGUCCGGAAUUACUGGGCGUAAAGAGCUCGGAGGUGGUUUGUCGCGUCGUCUGUGAAAUUCCGGGGCUUAACUCCGGGCGUGCAGGCGAUACGGGCAUAACUUGAGUACUGUAGGGGAGACUGGAAUUCCUGGUGUAGCGGUGAAAUGUGCAGAUAUCAGGAGGAACACCGGUGGCGAAGCGGGGUCUCUGGGCAGUAACUGACGCUGAGGAGCUAAAGCAUGGGUAGCGAACAGGAUUAGAUCCCCUGGUAGUCCAUGCCGUAAACGGUGGGCGCUAGGUGUAGGGGUGUUCCACGACUUCUGUGCCGUAGCUAACGCAUUAAGCGCCCCGCCUGGGGAGUACGGCAGCAAGGCUAAAACUCAAAGGAAUUGACGGGG